RNAcentral lists this ribosomal RNA (439 nucleotides) under uncultured bacterium. RNAcentral's name for it is "partial 16S ribosomal RNA". It matches the Rfam family "Bacterial small subunit ribosomal RNA", at positions 339 to 795 of the family's 1533-position model. The record is from RNAcentral.
CUACGGGGGGCUGCAGUGAGGAAUAUUGCACAAUGGGGGGAACCCUGAUGCAACAACGCCGCGUGGAGGAUGACGCAUUUCGGUGUGUAAACUCCUUUUAUAUGUCAAGAAAAUGACGGUAGCAUAUGAAUAAGCACCGGCUAACUCCGUGCCAGCAGCCGCGGUAAUACGGAGGGUGCAAGCGUUACUCGGAAUCACUGGGCGUAAAGGACGCGUAGGCGGGUUGGAAAGUCAGGUGUGAAAUCCUACAGCUUAACUGUAGAACUGCACUUGAAACUUCUAAUCUAGAGUAUGGGAGGGGGAGAUGGAAUUAGUGGUGUAGGGGUAAGAUCCGUAGAUAUCACUAGGAAUACCUAAAGCGAAGGCGAUCUCCUGGAACAUUACUGACGCUAAGGCGUGAAAGCGUGGGGAGCAAACAGGAUUAGAUACCCGCGUAGUC